Gastrolobium bilobum is the source of this 635-nucleotide long non-coding RNA. RefSeq lists it as uncharacterized. The transcript has 3 exons. NCBI's taxonomy places the organism in Eukaryota, Viridiplantae, Streptophyta, Magnoliopsida, Fabales, Fabaceae. The record is from RefSeq and is a predicted model, not a curated record.
AAAACGGAGAGAAAAAGAAGAAGAAGGAGAAAAGGAGGGAGAAGGAAGGGAGGAAGAGAGAGAGAGAUCAAACCUUGACCGUUUUGGGUGAUUCAAAAGCCUAAAUCGCUUAGAAUCUCGCCCUCUUUCAUAAUUCAAGCUUAGUUUUAAGUGGGGAGCUUUGUGUGGGGAGAUAUUGGCUCUCAAAAAUUCGGCCCUUUGGUGAAAAUUGGGAUUUUGAGAGUUUCUACCUCUAUUGAAGCUUGAGAAGCCAUCAAUCCUUGGUUGUGUGACCAUUGGUGGUUGAGACAUUUGGACCAACCGUGAGUGAUCAACCAUUGCAGCAAGCUAUGGAGCUUGAAUAGCUCCUUGGAAUUGGUAAGGAUGCUGCAGGAGCCUCUGGUGGCAAGUGGCCAUAUCUGGAUUAUGCAUGAAAUGUGGCAUUUCUUUUGAGUUUAUGCAUGACUUUUGUAGUUGACAUGUAUAGGAUUUUAUUUUGAAAGCCCAUGGUCAUUUGUAUAUCUUGAUUUCAUUGGAUGAACUUAGCCUAUGCUCAUGCCUUUGGUUACACCUUUUGUUGAUGGGAGCCAAGGGAAUGAUCAUAGUGUUUUGUAAGCUAAGUUCCAGGAUUUGUAAAGAAUAUGUAAUGUAAAUGA